UACGUAGGCAGCAAGCGUUGUUCGGAGUUACUGGGCGUAAAGAGUGCGUAGGUGGUGCCAUAAGUCUGUUGUGAAAUCUCCCGGCUUAACUGGGAGGGUGCGGUGGAAACUGGGGUGCUUGAGUGUGGGAGAGGUAAGCGGAAUUCCUGGUGUAGCGGUGAAAUGCGUAGAUAUCAGGAGGAACACCGGUGGUGUAGACGGCUUACUGGACCACGACUGACACUGAGGCACGAAAGCGUGGGUAGCAAACAGG
Molecule: ribosomal RNA, 253 nt
Filed under: uncultured bacterium
Lineage: Bacteria
Description: partial 16S ribosomal RNA
Rfam family: Bacterial small subunit ribosomal RNA
Source: RNAcentral